GACGAACGCUGGCGGCGUGCUUAACACAUGCAAGUCGAACGGAAAGGCCCUGCUUUUGUGGGGUGCUCGAGUGGCGAACGGGUGAGUAACACGUGAGUAACCUGCCCUUGACUUUGGGAUAACUUCACGAAACUGGGGCUAAUACCGGAUAGGAGCUCCUGCUGCAUGGUGGGGGUUGGAAAGUUUCGGCGGUUGGGGAUGGACUCGCGGCUUAUCAGCUUGUUGGUGGGGUAGUGGCUUACCAAGGCUUUGACGGGUAGCCGGCCUGAGAGGGUGACCGGCCACAUUGGGACUGAGGUACGGCCCAGACUCCUACGGGAGGCAGCAGUGGGGAAUAUUGCACAAUGGGCGGAAGCCUGAGACAGCAACGCCGCGUGCGGGAUGACGGCCUUCGGGUUGUAAACCGCUUUCGCCUGUGACGAAGCGUAAGUGACGGUAAUGAGUAAAGAAGCACCGGCUAACUACGUG
Molecule: ribosomal RNA, 468 nt
Filed under: uncultured bacterium
Lineage: Bacteria
Description: partial 16S ribosomal RNA
Rfam family: Bacterial small subunit ribosomal RNA
Source: RNAcentral